UCCUACGGGUGGCUGCAGUGGGGAAUUUUGGACAAUGGGCGCAAGCCUGAUCCAGCCAUGCCGCGUGAGUGAAGAAGGCCUUCGGGUUGUAAAGCUCUUUCAGACGGAAAGAAAUCUCUUGGGUUAAUACCCUGGGAGGAUGACGGUACCGUAAGAAGAAGCACCGGCUAACUACGUGCCAGCAGCCGCGGUAAUACGUAGGGUGCGAGCGUUAAUCGGAAUUACUGGGCGUAAAGCGUGCGCAGGCGGUGAUGUAAGACAGAUGUGAAAUCCCCGGGCUCAACCUGGGAACUGCGUUUGUGACUGCAUCACUCGAGUACGGCAGAGGGAGGUGGAAUUCCGCGUGUAGCAGUGAAAUGCGUAGAUAUGCGGAGGAACACCGAUGGCGAAGGCAGCCUCCUGGGCCAGUACUGACGCUCAUGCACGAAAGCGUGGGGAGCAAACAGGAUUAGAUACCCGAGUAGUCC
This 467-nucleotide ribosomal RNA is filed under the name uncultured Zoogloea sp. RNAcentral's name for it is "bacterial SSU rRNA". It matches the Rfam family "Bacterial small subunit ribosomal RNA", at positions 337 to 796 of the family's 1533-position model. The record is from RNAcentral. Lineage: Bacteria; Pseudomonadati; Pseudomonadota; Betaproteobacteria; Rhodocyclales; Zoogloeaceae.